CAUCACUCUGGCUCGCGCUGAUGUGUCGGGGUCCGUUCAUGUGCCGCGGAGCCGGGUUUCGUUCGACCCCGGCUGUUUCCCGUGCGCAGUUUUCCGCCGGUCUGUCUGAGAGUCGGUCGUGUCGUGUUGUGGACGUUUCGCACUCGGGACAUAGCGGGCGUGCUUCCGUCCGGUGACUCGGACCGUCGGCUGUCUGUGGACUGUGAGUGCGUGAAGGAGUUGAAGCUGGAACUCCCGAGUGUCGUAGCACUCAUGACAAGGACACACCAAGGUUAAUUUUAGCUGAUAGUAGGAAACUUUGGGUCUGUGAUCAUGAAGUUUUCAAGAUGUUUCAGAGGUCUGGCGCAAAUGCUGGACACCUACUCAGGGUACAAGCCGUCUCCGUUGUCCAUCAAACAGUUCAUCGAUUUCGGGACCACGGCCUCGGAGCGGCAGAGUUUCCAGUUCCUGCGUCAGGAACUGCCGGUGCGUCUGGCCAACAUCAUGAUGGAGAUUCAGCUGCUGCCGGAGAGCCUGCUGUCGCAGCCGUCCUGCCGUCGCGUGGUGGACUGGUACCAGCAGAGCUUCAGCGAGCUGCUCCAGUUCUGCGCCGCCAACCCGGAGAGCUCGGCCGCUCGAGAUGACUUCUGCGAGUCGCUGGUAAACAUCCGAAACCGGCACAGUGACGUAGUCCAGACGAUGGCGAAGGGCGUCAUCGAGCUCAAGGACAGCACGCGCGUCGACUGCUCCACGGAGAACAACAUUCAGUACUUCCUCGACCGUUUCUACAUGAACCGCAUCAGCAUCCGCAUGUUGAUCAACCAGCACACGCUGCUGUUCGGCUCCGGGCUGGGCGGCGACCCGCGGCACAUCGGCUGCAUUGACCCGUACUGCGACGUGGUUGAGGUGAUCAAGGACGCGGCAGCCAGCGCGCGCUUCCUCUGCGAGCGCUACUACCUGGCCUGUCCGGAGCUGGUCGUCUCACAGUUCAACGAGACCUUCCAGCGCUCCAACAAACACACCGACGCCCUUCCGCCGCCGAUGCAGCUGACGUACGUGCCGUCGCACCUGUACCACAUGCUGUUCGAGCUGCUGAAGAACGCCAUGCGCGCGGUGGUGGAGAACCACCCGGCCGGCGCCGAACUGCCGCCCAUCCAGCUGUACGUCAUCCUCGGCGGAGAGGACCUCGUCAUCAAGAUCUGCGACCGUGGCGGCGGCGUAUCGCGAGCCACCUCGGAGCGUCUGUUCCAGUACCUGUACUCGACGGCGCCGCGUCCUCCGCAGGACCCCAGCACUCCGCCGCUGGCAGGUGGGUCGCUGGGCUCCCGUACUGAGCACUGUGCCUUCACAGCCGGUGGGCACACCACCCAGCCUUACAUGCAGAUUCAGUCCGUACCGCUCUUUGCUGUAACCACAUCGCUUAGCUUCACUGACAGGCGGUACCUUUUAGUCUUCCCCUACCCCUCGAUCAGACCAACUGGUAGGCAGGUAACCUCUGACCUAUCAAAAAGAGAUCGUUACCGGCUUUCGUCCGUCUCUGAGCAGUCGGCUGUCGUGACGGAGCUGAUUGGAAGAAGCCCCCCGCUCCCGAGACUCUCAGGUAGGAUCUACAGCUGUGCCGACCGAUCGGGCUAUGACGUGCGCCGGGCUGGCUGCGGGUCGAUCGGGCGGCGGGCUGGGACGGUCGAGUGAAGCUCCGCUUUUAUUGGACCUUUGCACCGCUGACGUGGCACCGGGAGUCGAAAGGGCGUCUCUGCAGCGCAGAUGUAGUCGGAGGAGCGGCAGUGGGCACGUCUCACGGCGGGGGAAUGGUUUGUGUUCGAAUUCCUGCACGGUCUGGAGGCUCCAACAUUUCACUUUUGUUUAGUAGAGCGGAAUGCAGAGUGUGAUUUAUGUGAGCUGGCGUCCAAAUUGCACGUCGGUAUUGAUGGAUCGAGGAAUACGGAUGGUUCAUAUUUAACCAAACGAACACUUGUGCAUUUUUCAUUGAGUUGACACUGAAUCGAGUGUGAGUGUCUUUGAACGCAUCCAUGCAGAAACCCGACUCGAAACGCUGUUUAUUUUAUCGAGCUACAUCAUAACUGCUGCAAAGACACACGUCAGUGCUGCACGUUUUCAUCAGCUGCAUUCCUUCUCAGUACCCGCUGUUGUUUUGUUUAUCACCGCUAACGAACUAAGCGGACAACCUGUCCGUUAUCAGCAGGGGAGGGGCAGCAUAUUUACUCUGUCACCGCGGGCGGCUCGUCACGACAAACCGGAUCAAACCAGCCUACCGACCGGCCAGCGUGCCUGUUCGGUAGGGCUCGCACCCUGCCCAUCUCUGCCACCCAGUGGUGGACCGAGCCGACCCCACCUCCACGAUAUUAACCACACGGUACAAACAGGGCUGCACUUUGCACCGCGGCGGACAGACAACCGCCCGGCAGUUGUGAUAACUGGCCAGAUGAUUUAACGGGAUGUGUGUACAUAUGUUUGACUUUCGCCCUGUCGUGGAAGAGUCGCCGCGUAGUUCAAGGCUGGGCGGGUCAAAGGGCGCUGUGCUGUGGUAUUCAUCACUGAUAAAACAUGCUAGUAGUUGACACUGAAUAAAUGCGCAUCAGUUUUGAUUGGUUUGAUUAUAUGUAUCAGUUCGGCACACUGCUGUGGUGUCACUUAGUUCGACAUCAUGAUUGAUAUGAAUCGUCAUCGUUUAUUUCUCAAUUGUCCCGCCUGAUUAUCAUACUAUCCGUGUAUCUCCAUAGUCUCGCCAUUCUCGCGAUUUUAGCAUAUCGCACCAUCUGUUCCGCCGCCAGGUUACGGAUACGGGCUGCCUCUCUCCCGGCUGUACGCGCGCUACUUUCAGGGCGACCUGGUCAUCAACUCGUGCGAGGGCUACGGCACGGACGCCACCAUCUUCCUCAAGGCCCUGGCGCAGGACAUGAAGGAGGUGCUGCCGCUGUACAACCGGGCAGCGCAGCAGCACUACCAGAACGGCUCCCAGGCGCCUGACUGGUCCUCCGUGCUGGGGUCCUCCGGAGCGCGACCCCGCUCGACCCCCACCGACAGCCCUCCGAAACCGGCCUCUUCCACCGCGCGGAAACCCAGCCGGCCGGCCUCCGCCGCCGUCAGCAGUCUGAGGAACAUCAGCACGGGCAGCGCCGCCUCCGGUCAGGGCCAGAAGGCGGCGUAGCCUCGCGGCUGUCCGGCUGGGUCGGGAGAUCCCUGCAGCGUCGGGCUCCGGUCGGUUGAGCAGAUGUCGCGGAGAGGCGACUGUGGCGCCGCGGUGACUGAAGCGUCACCUGGAUUAGAGCAUCCUCCGCUCUUCUUUGACUCGCCGGCGAUCAGUGAACUGAAAUACUGUGUAAUUGUCUGUCUGUUGUCUGAACGAUCAGCUAAUGGCUGAGGACACUUGGUCUUGGAGUGGUGGAACACAGAAACGGGUCUCUGCGAGUGUGCUUUGUUUGAGCUGUGUGUCAUUGGUGUCGUUUGUACUUAGACAUGACCGGUCGCCGCUCGUGUGUCGUGUCCAUUGUCUGCAGUGAGGUGCGAUGGUCGGAAUAAGGGAGGGGCGGGGGUCCAGUGCAUGGACAGAGUGGUUGGGACGCUCCUAGGCAGAGAUCCUAUGGGAUUGUCCCUUGGUCGUCUCAGGGAGCUCGUAUCAGCGGGAGCGGGCCGAAAUCUGGCUGUUUGUAAACAAUGCAGUGACAUGUGACGGUAGCCCGUCGCAAGUACGGUUAGGCGUGUUCUUGUGAUGAGCGGAGGCUUUGUAUGGAAAUACUGGGCAAGGUUUUAAGCCGUUUGUUUAGCUUUUGGUAAUGCUUCGUGGAUCGAAGCUCAACGCCUUUUAGUUGUGUAUUUCGGUCGCUGCCUUUCUUAUGCAGGAGUGUAUUUACCAAUUAUGUAUGUAAAUUGGUUAUCGUACAGCUCCGUUCAGCAUCAACGUGAGAUCCGCCGGACUAGCUGGUGCAUCUGCGUUUCGUAGGUCGCCUAUCCGUGUCCCAACCUUCUGUAAUCGACCCUUGCCGCGAUGUUUCCUGUGUUCAGAGCUUUCCAUGAAUAACCUCGAUAUUUUUUCACUUUUCUACCAUGCCUAGCCUUGAAAUUUCAAACAUGACAUUCGCGAUCGGUGUCUUCAAGCAUACCAUCCAAUGACUUGCUCGUUGGGGUAUGGUAUUUGUCGAGUGCCCACGGGCUUUUAUUGCAUCGAUGCGAAUAUAUUUAUUUGCCGGUGUUUUACUUUGUUUGUUUGCCGUUACAUCAACACGUUGCACAUUGCGCCGCUGCAUGUGCUACGCUGCCCCGAAUCUUUGUGACUGCGGACACCAGUCUGGAUAUAUCAGAUCUUUGUAUCUUUUUAAAUGUUCAGCGACUUGAAGGAUUCCGGAACGGACUAUGUGAAGCGAAACGAGAUGACUGUAAUCGCGACGCCCCGUGUGGAUUGUACAUGAUGGUAAUACAUCCGUACAAACGUA
Molecule: RNA transcript, 4430 nt
Organism: Amphibalanus amphitrite
Lineage: Eukaryota; Metazoa; Arthropoda; Thecostraca; Balanomorpha; Balanidae
Gene name: pyruvate dehydrogenase (acetyl-transferring) kinase, mitochondrial-like
Exons: 7
Source: RefSeq, a predicted model, not a curated record